RNAcentral lists this ribosomal RNA (504 nucleotides) under uncultured bacterium. RNAcentral describes it as "partial 16S ribosomal RNA". It matches the Rfam family "Bacterial small subunit ribosomal RNA", at positions 28 to 523 of the family's 1533-position model. The record is from RNAcentral.
GAUGAACGCUAGCGACAGGCCUAACACAUGCAAGUCGAGGGGCAGCACAUGAGUAGCAAUACGAUGGUGGCGACCGGCGCACGGGUGAGUAUCGCGUAUGCAACCUACCUUCCACAGGGGGAUAGCCUUCCGAAAGGGAGAUUAAUACCGCAUAAAACAGGGGCCCCGCAUGGGGAUAUUUGUUAAAGAUUUAUCGGUGGGAGAUGGGCAUGCGUUCCAUUAGCUAGUUGGCGGGGUAAUGGCCCACCAAGGCAUCGAUGGAUAGGGGAACUGAGAGGUUUAUCCCCCACACUUGAACUGAGACACGGUCCAGACUCCUACGGGAGGCAGCAGUGAGGAAGAUUGGUCAAUGGGCGGGAGCCUGAACCAGCCAAGUCGCGUGAAGGAAGACGGUUCUAUGGAUUGUAAACUUCUUUUGCACUGGGGUAAAACGGGGGACGUGUCCCCCCUUGCAAGUACAGUGCGAAUAAGCAUCGGCUAACUCCGUGCCAGCCGCCGCAGUAA